RNAcentral lists this transfer RNA (73 nucleotides) under Canis lupus familiaris (dog). It matches the Rfam family "tRNA". From Rfam's summary of the family: Transfer RNA (tRNA) molecules are approximately 80 nucleotides in length. Their secondary structure includes four short double-helical elements and three loops (D, anti-codon, and T loops). Lineage: Eukaryota; Metazoa; Chordata; Mammalia; Carnivora; Canidae. RNAcentral also lists the same sequence under 1 other name. The record is from Rfam by way of RNAcentral.
ACCUGACUGGCUCAGUUUGUAGAGCAUGUGACUCUUAAUCUCGGGGUUAUGAGUUUGAGCCCCAUAUUGGGUG